UGAGUACGAGAGGCUACGGCCUCGAAGCAGUCUAUGUCAUACUUCCAAGAAAAGCUUGCAAUGUCAUAAACAAAUAAUGCCUGUACCAUAACCGACACAGGUGGGUAGGUAGAGUAUACUAAGGGGCGCGAGAUAACUCUCUCUAAGGAACUCGGCAAAAUGACUCCGUAACUUCGGGAGAAGGAGUGCCUUAUUUAUAAGGUUGCAAUAACAAGAUCCAAGCAACUGUUUACCAAAAACACAGGUCUCCGCUAAGUCGUAAGACGAUGUAUGGGGGCUGACGCCUGCCCAGUGCCAGAAGGUUAAAGAAGUUGGUUAGCAUUAGCGAAGCUGAUAACUGAAGCCCUGGUGAACGGCGGCCGUAACAAUAACGGUCCUAAGGUAGCGAAAUUCCUUGUCGGGUAAGUUCCGACCCGCACGAAAGGCGUAAUGAUUUGGAUACUGUCUCGGAGAGAGGCUCGGUGAAAUAGACUUGUCUGUGAAGAUGCGGACUACCUGCACCUGGACAGAAAGACCCUAUGAAGCUUUACUGUAACUUGAAAUUGAAAUUGGACUUUAUUUGCGCAGUAUAGGUGGGAGGCGUUGAGAGUAUUCUUGCGGGAAUAUUGGAGCCAUCAGUGAGAUACCACUCUUGUAAUGUUAGAUUUCUAACUUUGGAUCAUUAUCUGGUCAAAGGACAGUUUCAGGCGGGCAGUUUGACUGGGGCGGUCGCCUCCCAAACGGUAACGGAGGCGUACAAAGGUUUCCUCUGAACGGGUAGAAAUCGUAUCUAGAGUGUAAAGGCAUAAGGAAGCUUGACUGUGAGACCUACAAGUCGAGCAGGGACGAAAGUCGGUCUUAGUGAUCUGACGGUGCUGAGUGGAAAGGCCGUCACUCAACGGAUAAAAGUUACUCUAAGGAUAACAGGCUGAUCUCCCCCAAGAGUUCACAUCGACGGGGAGGUUUGGCACCUCGAUGUCGGCUCAUCGCAUCCUGGGGCGGUAGUACGUCCCAAGGGUUGGGCUGUUCGCCCAUGAAAGCGGUACGCGAGCUGGGUUCAGAACGUCGUGAGACAGUUCGGUCCAUAUCCGGUGUAGGCGUUAGAAUAUUGAGAGGAGCCUUCUUUAGUACGAGAGGACCGAGAAGGACAUACCUCUGGUGUACCAGUUAUCGUGCCAACAGUAAACGCUGGGUAGCUAUGUAUGGAGAGGAUAACCGCUGAAAGCAUCUAAGUGGGAAGCCCACCUCAAGAUAAGUAUUCUCAU
RNAcentral lists this ribosomal RNA (1244 nucleotides) under metagenome. RNAcentral describes it as "bacterial LSU rRNA". It matches the Rfam family "Bacterial large subunit ribosomal RNA", at positions 1564 to 2817 of the family's 2925-position model. The record is from RNAcentral.